This 749-nucleotide long non-coding RNA is filed under the name Vulpes vulpes (red fox). Its description in RNAcentral is "lncRNA (ENSVVUG00000008562.1)". Lineage: Eukaryota; Metazoa; Chordata; Mammalia; Carnivora; Canidae. The record is from RNAcentral.
CAGCACCAGGCCCCGAAGCUGGUCUUGGCAGGGACUCGGGUCCUGCCGCCUCAGGGCCAUUAGCCUCCAACAUGCAGCAGGAACUUAGUCACCCUGCCCGGGACAGUCGCUCUGGUCUAAGGAGGCUCGCGGGUUGAGUCUGGCCAUGGCAACCCAGAAGCGCUGCGAUCCCAUACUCCGCGCCUAAAACUGGAACAGGUGUGGACGGGACAGCAGCUGGAUCAGCCUGUAAGGAACGGUGUGCGAGACAGAGGACCGUGGCGAUGGAAGCUUUUUGAAUCGUGGUAACCAUGUGCUUUGGGCUGUGGAAUCCAUAUUGAGUGAAAUUAAUUGGAAGAAAACCAGAAGGACUACAAUCCUGAGGACUCACGGACAGAAGGCAGACGAUGACUGCGUAUUUGCAGGAAGACCGUCAUCUGCAGAACCUGAUGCACCUGAAUUCGAAUCUUUCUCAGCCACUUGGCACAGGCCUGUGGCCGUGGCACGUCAGACAUGCUCGCUUACGCUCCCACUCCCAGACCUUAAAACAGAGCUGCCCGUCCCCGUGCGUGGUCAUCCUGCUGGUCAGACGGGGCUUGUGACAGUGGACGGUGGUGGAAAGGACCCGACAUGGAACAUCGGCCUCUACUGCCUUGGAACCCUUGUGACUCCGAAUGAGCCGCCCAAUGUCAUCAUUAGAAAAGUGGCUAUAUUCACACUGUGGGGGUCGCUGGGUCGUUACGCUUAAGUGAUCUGAGUUGAUACUGCAA